This 471-nucleotide ribosomal RNA is filed under the name uncultured Thiobacillus sp. RNAcentral describes it as "bacterial SSU rRNA". It matches the Rfam family "Bacterial small subunit ribosomal RNA", at positions 906 to 1382 of the family's 1533-position model. The record is from RNAcentral. Lineage: Bacteria; Pseudomonadati; Pseudomonadota; Betaproteobacteria; Nitrosomonadales; Thiobacillaceae.
GGAAUUGACGGGGACCCGCACAAGCGGUGGAUGAUGUGGAUUAAUUCGAUGCAACGCGAAGAACCUUACCUACCCUUGACAUGUCCGGAACUUGCCAGAGAUGGCUUGGUGCCCGAAAGGGAACCGGAACACAGGUGCUGCAUGGCUGUCGUCAGCUCGUGUCGUGAGAUGUUGGGUUAAGUCCCGCAACGAGCGCAACCCUUGUCCUUAGUUGCUACGCAAGAGCACUCUAAGGAGACUGCCGGUGACAAACCGGAGGAAGGUGGGGAUGACGUCAAGUCCUCAUGGCCCUUAUGGGUAGGGCUUCACACGUCAUACAAUGGUCGGUACAGAGGGUUGCCAAGCCGCGAGGUGGAGCCAAUCCCACAAAGCCGAUCGUAGUCCGGAUGUUCUCUGCAACUCGAGAGCAUGAAGUCGGAAUCGCUAGUAAUCGCAGGUCAGCAUACUGCGGUGAAUACGUUCCCGGGUCUU